UCCCUGCUGGCUUGGACAGUAAAGAAUCUGCCUGCAAAGCAGGAGACCCAGGUUUGAUCCCUGGGUUGGGAA
This 72-nucleotide transfer RNA is filed under the name Ovis aries (sheep). It matches the Rfam family "tRNA". Rfam says of the family: Transfer RNA (tRNA) molecules are approximately 80 nucleotides in length. Their secondary structure includes four short double-helical elements and three loops (D, anti-codon, and T loops). The record is from Rfam by way of RNAcentral. Lineage: Eukaryota; Metazoa; Chordata; Mammalia; Artiodactyla; Bovidae.